ACAAGAACAAAUAAAAGGAAAUACUUAAAUAUGGAGAUGAUGUUAGGGAUCUUUUAUUUUUCUAAAUUAUUUUUUUCUAUUUCUAACACUCCCCCUCAAGUUGAAUUGUGGGAUAUCCAUGAUUCAACUUGGAUUGGUUUUGAUUUUGGGUUUUGAUUGGUUUUUGGUUUGGCUACCGUCUCCUUGACAUGCUACCGCCUUUCGACAUGGUAACUUUUGGGUUCUGGUUUCUGAGAUUUUUGGUUUUGGUUUCCCCUUAAGUUGAAGAAAUUCAACUUGGCCUUUUAGGUUUU
RNAcentral lists this long non-coding RNA (293 nucleotides) under Helianthus annuus (common sunflower). RNAcentral describes it as "hypothetical non coding rna". The record is from RNAcentral. Lineage: Eukaryota; Viridiplantae; Streptophyta; Magnoliopsida; Asterales; Asteraceae.